Molecule: long non-coding RNA, 288 nt
Filed under: Nicotiana benthamiana
Lineage: Eukaryota; Viridiplantae; Streptophyta; Magnoliopsida; Solanales; Solanaceae
Description: long non-coding RNA (NBEN_LNC021474)
Source: RNAcentral
AUUUUUCCACAAAAUUUCCCGUUUGGUUUCACCAACUUCUCCCCCUAAUUUUGGGAAAAGUGUCUCAUCAAAUUGACAGUCUGCAAAUCGUGCAGUGACCAAAUCCCCUGUCAAUGUUUCGAGGUAGCGAAUAAUGGAGGGCGAUUCAAACCUAACAUAUAUUCCUAACCUUCUUUGUGGACCCAUUUUGGUGCGGUAUGUCGGUGCUACAGGCACAUAUACUGCGCAUCCAAAGAUUCUUAAAUAGGAUAUAUUAGGUUCAUGACCCAAAACCAAUUACAGCGGGGA